AAGUGUAACAGCUCUUUUAGAAUUUGUCUAGCAGGUCUUCCAGUCCUUACCAGAAGGUCCCC
RNAcentral lists this small nuclear RNA (62 nucleotides) under Microcebus murinus (gray mouse lemur). RNAcentral's name for it is "U7 small nuclear RNA (ENSMICG00000046457.1)". It matches the Rfam family "U7 small nuclear RNA". Rfam says of the family: Animal histone pre-mRNAs are spliced by a different mechanism than nuclear pre-mRNAs and self-splicing introns. The record is from Rfam by way of RNAcentral. Lineage: Eukaryota; Metazoa; Chordata; Mammalia; Primates; Cheirogaleidae.